CUGAGAAAAUAUUUUUCAUGACUGAUUUGUAAAUGUGUUGUAUGAUAUAGAAAUCAUAGAUGUGAAUAUCUUUGUAUUAUAAGAAUGUCUAUGAUUGUGUGGACGUUAGUUCUCUGUGUCCUGAUGUACGGACCUGUGACUGAGGCCUGUCCUAGUGGCUGUAGCUGUAGGAGGAGUACCCGAUGUAAUGGGACAGAUGUAGACUGUAGUUAUGAAGGGUUAACUGAAGUACCUACCAACAUCCCCACAGAUACAUGUUCAAUUGUGACAAAGAACUGCGGUCAAUUCAUCGCGACAUUACAUGUAGCCAGGUGUGCCCCACCAUUGACAUGCACAUCGGGAACUAUUCUACCUGUUCGAUCCUACUG
This is a long non-coding RNA of Saccostrea cuccullata (small rock oyster), 368 nucleotides long. RefSeq lists it as uncharacterized. The transcript has 2 exons. NCBI's taxonomy places the organism in Eukaryota, Metazoa, Mollusca, Bivalvia, Ostreida, Ostreidae. The record is from RefSeq and is a predicted model, not a curated record.